This 449-nucleotide ribosomal RNA is filed under the name uncultured bacterium. RNAcentral's name for it is "bacterial SSU rRNA". It matches the Rfam family "Bacterial small subunit ribosomal RNA", at positions 28 to 481 of the family's 1533-position model. The record is from RNAcentral.
GACGAACGCUGGCGGCGUGCUUAACACAUGCAAGUCGAGCGGUAAGGCCCUUUCGGGGGUACACGAGCGGCGAACGGGUGAGUAACACGUGGGUGACCUGCCCUCAGCUCUGGGAUAAGCCUGGGAAACCGGGUCUAAUACUGGAUAUGACUCCAUGACGCAUGUUGUGGGGUGGAAAGCCUUGUGCGGCUGAGGAUGGGCCCGCGGCCUAUCAGCUUGUUGGUGGGGUGANGGCCUACCAAGGCGACGACGGGUAGCCGGCCUGAGAGGGCGACCGGCCACACUGGGACUGAGACACGGCCCAGACUCCUACGGGAGGCAGCAGUGGGGAAUAUUGGACAAUGGGCGAAAGCCUGAUCCAGCAAUGCCGCGUGUGUGAAGAAGGCCUGCGGGUUGUAAAGCACUUUCAGUAGGGAAAGAAAGCUUGGUGUGAAUAGCACCGAGUCUUG